Molecule: ribosomal RNA, 715 nt
Filed under: uncultured bacterium
Lineage: Bacteria
Description: bacterial SSU rRNA
Rfam family: Bacterial small subunit ribosomal RNA
Source: RNAcentral
GCAUGCCUAACACAUGCAAGUCGAACGGGGGUAGCAAUACCCUAGUGGCGAACGGGUGAGUAACACGUGAGCAACCUGCCUUAUACAACGGGAUACCUGCGAGAAAUCGUAGUUAAUACGGUAUAAGACCACACUCCGGCAUCGGAGAGGGGUAAAAGAUUUUAUCGGUAUAAGAUGGGCUCGCGGCGCAUUAGCUAGUUGGUACGGUAACGGCGUACCAAGGCGACGAUGCGUAGCCGACCUGAGAGGGUGAUCGGCCACACUGGGACUGAGAUACGGCCCAGACUCCUACGGGAGGCAGCAGUGGGGAAUAUUGGGCAAUGGGCGCAAGCCUUACCCAGCAAUGCCGCGUGAAUGAAGAAGGUCUUCGGAUUGUAAAGUUCUUUAGUCAGGGACGAAAAAAAUGACGGUACCUGAAGAAUAAGCCACGGCUAACUACGUGCCAGCAGCCGCGGUAAUACGUAGGUGGCAAGCGUUGUCCGGAUUUACUGGGUGUAAAGGGCGUGCAGCCGGGAGUGCAAGUCAGAUGUGAAAUCCAUGGGCUCAACCCAUGAACUGCAUUUGAAACUGUACUUCUUGAGUACUGGAGAGGCAAUCGGAAUUCCUAGUGUAGCGGUGAAAUGCGUAGAUAUUAGGAGGAACACCAGUGGCGAAGGCGGAUUGCUGGACAGCAACUGACGGUGAGGCGCGAAAGUGUGGGGAGCAAACAGGAUUA